This 337-nucleotide unclassified non-coding RNA is filed under the name soil metagenome. RNAcentral describes it as "partial contains 5.8S ribosomal RNA, internal transcribed spacer 2, and large subunit ribosomal RNA". The stretch from base 1 to 120 matches the Rfam family "5.8S ribosomal RNA", at positions 35 to 154 of the family's 154-position model. The record is from RNAcentral.
GAUGAAGAACGUAGCGAAAUGCGAUAAGUAAUGUGAAUUGCAGAAUUCCGUGAAUCAUCGAAUCUUUGAACGCACAUUGCGCCCCCUGGCAUUCCGGGGGGCAUACCUGUCCGAGCGUCAUUUCUGCCCUCAAGCACGGCUUGUGUGUUGGGUGUGGUCCCCCCGGGGACCUGCCCGAAAGGCAGCGGCGACGUCCGUCUGGUCCUCGAGCGUAUGGGGCUCUGUCACUCGCUCGGGAAGGACCUGCGGGGGUUGGUCACCACUAUAUUUUACCACGGUUGACCUCGGAUCAGGUAGGAGUUACCCGCUGAACUUAAGCAUAUCAAUAAGCGGAGGA